AUGAGCUAUCAAGCAAGCAAAGGCAUCAGAAAAGAACUCAGACAGAAACAUUUCUGUGGUGAUAGCAGAGCUUGGAAGUUCUUAAGAGUUCAGCGUGUAUUCAUUCUUUCAGACUCUGAAAGAUGGACGCCACGUGUCAGAGCACAGCAAGGGAAGGCUGAGGAAUUAUUUCAAGGUAAAAUAGUCCCAGCACUGAUGCAGCUCCUCAUUUACUCAGCAUCUUCUUUUUCCACCUUCUGCUUUCUCUGAACGAGAGACAGCUAAGUAGAGAACAACAGACUCGGGCCCUUUCUGCCUGCUAAAGAGCGACUCAAUCUCACCUCCUGUGAAAAUGAAACUCUUCUGUUAGAAGAGCCUGGGAAAGUGAGGAUGCAAAUCAAAAUCUGGGCUGAGGAGAACUUAGUAACAAAGGGCGCUUCUGCUUUUGACUUUUUGGACAUGUGCUUUUCUGUUUCUGGCUAUUAAAGAAAAAGCUCUAAACAUUAUUCUUUGACUGGGGAAAUACAGCACAUCGUGUAGCAUAGCACUCAACCUCUCAGGGGAUUGCCUCGUAUCUGGUAUUAUAGCUGGCUGUAAAUAGGCCAUUCUUGGUUCUCCGGGUCAGCUGGUUCCAAAGAGCAGUGCACAAGUUGGGUUGAAGUCCGUUGCUUCACCUUUUUCUGACAUGCGAGAAGCAUUUCAACUGCUUUGACUUGGCUUCCGCUCAGUAUGGCCUACACCACCACGGUUACAGAAGACGCUGUGGCUGCAGAUGUCCAGAUGUGGACCUGCUCUAGCAGACAGCUCAUGGUUCAUAGCAGGCAUCCAGAUUCACUCCUCUGCACCCCCUCACAAGGGUUAGGAGGAAGUUUUAGAUGUGGCUAGGCUGUACUUUAAACCUACGCUUAUCAUUUUGCCUUUUUAUGAGCUAAAAUUUAGAGAAAAUUGAAUAUCAUGCUUAGAUUAAGGGUUGUUAUUGCAAAUAAAUGAAAACCAAACUAAACAAGCCAAAGCAAACAGCAGCAAAAAACACUUAAAAUUCCAUAAAAAGAAAUCCAUAUUAUUAAAAAAUGGACCACAGGUCUACAUGACUUCUCACCAAAGAUAUAUUAAAAAUACUCAGAUAUCCCAUAUGCCUGUUUGUAUGAAAAGAUGCUCUACAUCUUUGUCAUUGAGGAAAUGCAAAUUUAAACAAUGAAACUACACACACUUAUUUAUUAGAAUAACCAUUCUAAUAAAAAACCCACAAUUCCGACAUCAACUGCUGUCAAGAAAUUGGAGCCACAGAAAUUCUAAUUCAGUGCUGGUAGAGAAACAUAAUGGCACUGCUCCUUUGGAAGAGAGAGCGGCCAUUUCUUGUGAACCUAAAUAUAUGCUUACCAUAUAAUUCAGAAAUCACAUCUUUUAGUAUUUAAAUUGAAUUUGGGACUCAAAACUUUCCCAUAACAUGACUUCCAGGCCCACAUGGCUUCCCUUCUGAAUUAACACUAAUCUUUUCCAAAUACAACAGAAUAAAGCAAAAUAAAGCAGAAAAGAAUGGAACAAUUCUCAACUCAUUUUAUGGGAUCAGAUAAUGAUCUUACAACACAGAAAUAUUAAAUGCCCAC
This 1586-nucleotide long non-coding RNA is filed under the name Fukomys damarensis (Damara mole-rat). Its description in RNAcentral is "lncRNA (ENSFDAG00000031420.1)". Lineage: Eukaryota; Metazoa; Chordata; Mammalia; Rodentia; Bathyergidae. The record is from RNAcentral.